RNAcentral lists this small nucleolar RNA (206 nucleotides) under Sorex araneus (European shrew). RNAcentral describes it as "Small nucleolar RNA U3 (ENSSARG00000016502.1)". It matches the Rfam family "Small nucleolar RNA U3". From Rfam's summary of the family: Small nucleolar RNAs (snoRNAs) are involved in the processing and modification of rRNA in the nucleolus. There are two main classes of snoRNAs: the box C/D class, and the box H/ACA class. The record is from RNAcentral. Lineage: Eukaryota; Metazoa; Chordata; Mammalia; Eulipotyphla; Soricidae.
UAGAAUAUACUUUCAGGGAUUAUUUCUACAGUUCAUUACUAGAGAAGUUUCUUGGAUCCCGCAGAGCACCCAAAACCAUGAGGGGAGCCAGAGGAUCAUCUCCUGAGCAUGAAACUUGUUCUAGGUGUUGCUUUUACAGCUGCCUUUUACCACUGAUGAUCAUUUUUUCUCUUCCCUAGGAGAGGGAGAGGAUGCAGUCUGAGCGG